UACGGAGGGUGCGAGCGUUAAUCGGAAUUACUGGGCGUAAAGCGCACGCAGGCGGUUAUAUAAGCUAGAUGUGAAAGCCCCGGGCUCAACCUGGGAAUAGCAUUUAGAACUGUAUGACUAGAGUCUUGGAGAGGGGAGUGGAAUUCCAGGUGUAGCGGUGAAAUGCGUAGAUAUCUGGAGGAACAUCAGUGGCGAAGGCGACUCCCUGGCCAAAGACUGACGCUCAUGUGCGAAAGUGUGGGUAGCGAACAGG
This 253-nucleotide ribosomal RNA is filed under the name uncultured bacterium. Its description in RNAcentral is "partial 16S ribosomal RNA". It matches the Rfam family "Bacterial small subunit ribosomal RNA", at positions 524 to 776 of the family's 1533-position model. The record is from RNAcentral.